CAGCUUUGACAGCGCCACAGCCAAGCCAGUUCCCCAGGACCUACACUCAGUAUUUCAGCAUCAAGCUGCCACAGCUUUGAACUACAUCUCUGAGCAUCUCCACUUUAUAUUGAUUUAUUUUGUGCGCCUGUUAGCAAGAUGCGUCCUAAGGUGGCUGCUACGUCAGAGAGUGUAGACGUGCUUCGUAGACCGUACACCAUCAGCCCCGUCUCCGUGGCGACCACUUCCAUCACUCAGAAGUCUCCUGACCCUUUUUUCUUCAGUUUCUCCCCUCCUCCAACGUCAUUUAUUUUGUGCUAAUGCUACCCAGGGAUGCAGGCAGUAUUUUAUCCUUCUUAUUGUCCUGUUUCCCUCAUCCUCUUUGGUUCUUCUCCCUUGGACAUGAAUCUGCACAAUCCCAUGGUGUAAAACCCUUAGUCC
Cervus elaphus (red deer) is the source of this 420-nucleotide long non-coding RNA. RefSeq lists it as uncharacterized. NCBI's taxonomy places the organism in Eukaryota, Metazoa, Chordata, Mammalia, Artiodactyla, Cervidae. The record is from RefSeq and is a predicted model, not a curated record. The transcript is spliced from 2 exons.